RNAcentral lists this ribosomal RNA (449 nucleotides) under uncultured bacterium. RNAcentral describes it as "partial 16S ribosomal RNA". It matches the Rfam family "Bacterial small subunit ribosomal RNA", at positions 29 to 523 of the family's 1533-position model. The record is from RNAcentral.
AGCGAACGCUGGCGGCAGGCCUAACACAUGCAAGUCGAACGAAGUCUUCGGACUUAGUGGCGGACGGGUGAGUAACACGUGGGAACGUACCUUUUGGUUCGGAACAACUCAGGGAAACUUGAGCUAAUACCGAAUGUGCCCUUAGGGGGAAAGAUUUAUCGCCAUUAGAGCGGCCCGCGUUAGAUUAGCUAGUUGGUGAGGUAAAGGCUCACCAAGGCGACGAUCUAUAGCUGGUCUGAGAGGAUGAUCAGCCACACUGGGACUGAGACACGGCCCAGACUCCUACGGGAGGCAGCAGUGGGGAAUCUUGCGCAAUGGGCGAAAGCCUGACGCAGCCAUGCCGCGUGAAUGAUGAAGGUCUUAGGAUUGUAAAAUUCUUUUAGCAGGGACGAUAAUGACGGUACCUGCAGAAAAAGCCCCGGCUAACUUCGUGCCAGCCGCCGCUGUAA